AUGAACGCUAGCUACAGGCUUAACACAUGCAAGUCGAGGGGCAGCGGUAUCGAAAGCUUGCUUUCGGUCGCCGGCGACCGGCGCACGGGUGAGUAACGCGUAUCGAACCUGCCUCAUACUCGGGAAUAGCCUUGCGAAAGUAAGAUUAAUGCCCGGUGUUUUCAGAGUCCCGCAUGAGGCUUUGAACAAAGAUUUAUCGGUAUGAGAUGGCGAUGCGUCCCAUUAGCUUGUUGGCGGGGUAACGGCCCACCAAGGCAUCGAUGGGUAGGGGUUCUGAGAGGAAGGUCCCCCACAUUGGAACUGAGGCACGGUCCAAACUCCUACGGGAGGCAGCAGUGAGGAAUAUUGGUCAAUGGGCGGAAGCCUGAACCAGCCAAGUAGCGUGCAGGAAGACGGCCCUCCGGGUUGUAAACUGCUUUUAGUUGGGAAUAAAACGGGGCUCGUGAGCCCCCUUGCAUGUACCAUCAGAAAAAGGACCGGCUAAUUCCGUG
Molecule: ribosomal RNA, 491 nt
Filed under: uncultured bacterium
Lineage: Bacteria
Description: partial 16S ribosomal RNA
Rfam family: Bacterial small subunit ribosomal RNA
Source: RNAcentral